GUCGAGGAGGGUGAAUGGAAUCCCACCUCAUAAAGCCGAUGAUCCAGUGUUGGCGCACCGGGGAGGCUUUAAGAUGAUGGUCGCAGGUUCGAAUCCUGCCCUCGACGCCA
RNAcentral lists this transfer RNA (110 nucleotides) under Brevundimonas sp. RNAcentral describes it as "tRNA-OTHER". It matches the Rfam family "tRNA". From Rfam's summary of the family: Transfer RNA (tRNA) molecules are approximately 80 nucleotides in length. Their secondary structure includes four short double-helical elements and three loops (D, anti-codon, and T loops). Further hydrogen bonds mediate the characteristic L-shaped molecular structure. tRNAs have two regions of fundamental functional importance: the anti-codon, which is responsible for specific mRNA codon recognition, and the 3' end, to which the tRNAs corresponding amino acid is attached (by aminoacyl-tRNA synthetases). tRNAs cope with the degeneracy of the genetic code in two manners: having more than one tRNA (with a specific anti-codon) for a particular amino acid; and 'wobble' base-pairing, i.e. permitting non-standard base-pairing at the 3rd anti-codon position. Lineage: Bacteria; Pseudomonadati; Pseudomonadota; Alphaproteobacteria; Caulobacterales; Caulobacteraceae. The record is from RNAcentral.